AUGGAGGGACAGCCGCCGCCGCCCCCUCCCCUUCCAAACUCGCGCUCGCCGGCCAUCCUCUCCAUCUGCCGCCGCCACCGACCAGCCGUACCCGCGCUACCAUCCCCUCCUCGUUCCUAUCCGAGAAGCAGCCCAAGGGCCGCCGCCUACCGCUCUGCACGAACGCGGAUGCGGUGGCCGACGCGGGAAGCGCCGCUAAGCGCCACCACCACCCGUCCCUUCAUCCCCCGCCACCUCUCUGCCUCAUCCCUUCCCGUCACACACCCUCCCUUCCCCUGCGAUAUUGCGCUGCUACUUCACUGGGUACAAGUUCCAUGGCGGUCCGAGAUCCAUGGCCUCCAAUUCGGCAUCGUAGCUGCCAGCCUCGAUGUUGAGACAGUGCCAAGGAAGUUCAUGCGGGGAAGUGGCUCAUCGAUGCGCGUCUCGUGGCCCCGCUGGAUCCGAUGCUCAACACCUCCAUCUCGUGUGUCACCAAGUCGCCGCCGGGGACGCUGCGCUGGUCGGUCGGAGGCCGAGCUCGCCUCGUCCUAUAAGUUACCCUCUGGCAUCAUCAAGCCAAGGGAUGCGGGAUGCAACAGUCCAACCAACUGUGGUCGACCUAGUUCUUGA
Molecule: ribosomal RNA, 609 nt
Filed under: Triticum aestivum (bread wheat)
Lineage: Eukaryota; Viridiplantae; Streptophyta; Magnoliopsida; Poales; Poaceae
Description: partial small subunit ribosomal RNA
Source: RNAcentral